This 492-nucleotide ribosomal RNA is filed under the name uncultured bacterium. RNAcentral's name for it is "partial 16S ribosomal RNA". It matches the Rfam family "Bacterial small subunit ribosomal RNA", at positions 28 to 507 of the family's 1533-position model. The record is from RNAcentral.
GAUGAACGCUCGCUACAGGCUUAACACAUGCAAGUCGAGGGGAAACGGCAUUAAGUGCUUGCACUUUUUGGACGUCGACCGGCGCACGGGUGAGUAACGCGUAUCCAACCUGCCCCUUACCAGGGAAUAACCCGUUGAAAGACGGACUAAUGCCCUAUGCAGUCCUUUGACGGCAUCAGAUUAGGACUAAAGAUUCAUCGGUAUGGGAUGGGGAUGCGUCUGAUUAGCUUGUUGGCGGGGUAACGGCCCACCAAGGCAUCGAUCAGUAGGGGUUCUGAGAGGAAGGUCCCCCACAUAGGAACUGAGACACGGUCCUAACUCCUACGGGAGGCAGCAGUGAGGAAUAUUGGUCAAUGGGCGCUAGCCUGAACCAGCCAAGUAGCGUGCAGGACGACGGCCCUAUGGGUUGUAAACUGCUUUUAUGCGGGGAUAAAGUCACCCACGUGUGGGUGUUUGCAGGUACCGCAUGAAUAAGGACCGGCUAAUUCCGUG